Long non-coding RNA from Calypte anna (Anna's hummingbird), 386 nucleotides. RefSeq lists it as uncharacterized. The transcript is spliced from 3 exons. Lineage: Eukaryota; Metazoa; Chordata; Aves; Apodiformes; Trochilidae. The record is from RefSeq and is a predicted model, not a curated record.
CUUGCAACCUGGAAUACUUUUGCUUGUGACCGUUCAGCCUUCCCUUGCUGAGCUCUGGGCCCUCUGGGGGUGUGAUGGAGCCACAGAAGUGACAGAGUGGCAGUGGCUGAGCCUGGCAGCUGAGAUUGCACAGGACAGCAUCACUGCUGGGGUGUGUUUAGGGGCUCCUGUACCCCCCCCUUGGCCUGAGACCCCUGCUGGGGGGGGCUGCCUGGAUGCUGCCCAUCCAUCCCCUGCCAGGCACAGAUGCUCCUUAGCCUUGACGAAGCAGUCACACAACGUGCAUCAGCAUCCUGCCCGGGGGACCUGCUGGGACAUGGUCCUGGGAAGCAGAUGGGUCUCUGGGGACACAGUGCUGCUGUCACUCCCUGGCUUUGGGGACAAAU